This 552-nucleotide long non-coding RNA is filed under the name Mus pahari (shrew mouse). RNAcentral describes it as "lncRNA (MGP_PahariEiJ_G0002412.1)". Lineage: Eukaryota; Metazoa; Chordata; Mammalia; Rodentia; Muridae. The record is from RNAcentral.
AGUCUCGUGUGGUAGCUUUUGUCCACGCCCGGCAGGAGGUUGAGGUUUUUAUUCUAGGUACAAGGGAGAGCACAGGCAGAAGCAGAGACAGCUGGGAGAAUCCAGAGUGGACAGGACCAUGACUGACCAACUAUACCAGCUCUGCCCAAAGCUGUGCUGUGAGCUGAAUUGGGCAGAACUGGAGUUUGUGAUUUGAGCACUUCCACACAAACCUCCUUCUCACCCCCCUGCUCUGCAGUGAGAGUCUAAGAAGCUGAGAGGAACUAAGUUAAGAGGGAACCAAGCCCUGCCGCAUGUGGUGAGCAUAAGAAAAACAACAAAUAUCGACAGACAGGCAGCAAAGCUUCAUCCAGCAUCUACAGCACCAGCACACAUGACUGCUGUAGAGGCCACUGAGAGCAAGAAGGUAAUAUCAGGUGUGGGCUUUUAGAUCCUGGGGAGGAGCUCCUGCUGCUCUCUCACUGCAGGCUCUUUGUGUAACAAACCACAGCCUCUGUUGGAAAGGCUCCUCAGCUGUUCUCAAGGACACAAUGCUGUUUUAAAAUCUCUUUG